AGUCGAGCGAACAGAUAAGGAGCUUGCUCCUUUGACGUUAGCGGCGGACGGGUGAGUAACACGUGGGUAACCUACCUAUAAGACUGGGAUAACUUCGGGAAACCGGAGCUAAUACCGGAUAAUAUUUCGAACCGCAUGGUUCGAUAGUGAAAGAUGGUUUUGCUAUCACUUAUAGAUGGACCCGCGCCGUAUUAGCUAGUUGGUAAGGUAACGGCUUACCAAGGCGACGAUACGUAGCCGACCUGAGAGGGUGAUCGGCCACACUGGAACUGAGACACGGUCCAGACUCCUACGGGAGGCAGCAGUAGGGAAUCUUCCGCAAUGGGCGAAAGCCUGACGGAGCAACGCCGCGUGAGUGAUGAAGGUCUUCGGAUCGUAAAACUCUGUUAUUAGGGAAGAACAUACGUGUAAGUAACUGUGCACGUCUUGACGGUACCUAAUCAGAAAGCCACGGCUAACUACGUGCCAGCAGCCGCGGUAAUACGUAGGUGGCAAGCGUUAUCCGGAAUUAUUGGGCGUAAAGCGCGCGUAGGCGGUUUUUUAAGUCUGAUGUGAAAGCCCACGGCUCAACCGUGGAGGGUCAUUGGA
This 588-nucleotide ribosomal RNA is filed under the name Staphylococcus aureus. RNAcentral describes it as "bacterial SSU rRNA". It matches the Rfam family "Bacterial small subunit ribosomal RNA", at positions 60 to 630 of the family's 1533-position model. The record is from RNAcentral. Lineage: Bacteria; Bacillati; Bacillota; Bacilli; Caryophanales; Staphylococcaceae.